AUCGCUUCUCGGCCUUUUGGCUAAGAUCAAGUGUAGUAUCUGUUCUUAUCAGUUUAAUAUCUGAUACGUCCCCUACCCGGGGACCAUAUAUUAAAUUGAUUUUUGGAAUAGGGAGAUGGAAUAGGGGCUUGCUCCGUCCACUCCACGCAUCGACCUGGUAUUGCAGUACCUCCAGGAACGGUGCACCCCCC
The sequence is a small nuclear RNA, 191 nucleotides long. Its record names the gene U2. It matches the Rfam family "U2 spliceosomal RNA". From Rfam's summary of the family: U2 is a small nuclear RNA (snRNA) component of the spliceosome (involved in pre-mRNA splicing). Complementary binding between U2 snRNA (in an area lying towards the 5' end but 3' to hairpin I) and the branchpoint sequence (BPS) of the intron results the bulging out of an unpaired adenosine, on the BPS, which initiates a nucleophilic attack at the intronic 5' splice site, thus starting the first of two transesterification reactions that mediate splicing. The record is from Ensembl.